GCUGUCCCUAGAUGAGCUGACAGACCCUGGCUGAGCAGGAAGUGGCAGGGUCAGGAAAAGCUAGGCCACAAGUUUUCCCUUGAGAGCCUUAGUUAGAGACUGCAUCUCACCAUGUUGCUCAGGCUGUUCUCGAACUCCUGGGCUCAAGCAAUCCUCCUACCUCAGCCUCUCAAAGUGUUGGGAUUAUAGAUGUGAGCCACUGUACCCGGCCCUGGUUGCAUUCUUCAUUAUUAGGAACAUAAGAGUCUAGCCCUGUCGCCCAGGCUGGAGUGCCAUGGUUUGAACUCUACUCACCGCAACCUCCACCUCCCAGGUUCAAAUGAUUCUCCUGCCUCAGCCUCCUGAAUAUCUGGGAUUACAGGUGCCUGCCACUACACUCAGCUAAUUUUUGUAUUUUUAGUAGAGACAGGGUUUCACCAUGGUGGCCAGGCUGGUCUUGAACUCCUGACCUUGUGAUCUGCCCAUCUCGUGCUGGUAUUACAGGCGUGAGCCACUGCGCCCAGCCUAAAAUAAUUUUCAGUGAGUUAUAAGAAAACAGCUGCAUUCUGUUCUGUUUUUAGGCCUGGCCAGAGAAUACCAGGAGACUGUAAGAUGUCAUGGUACAUCAAGUCAGUCUCAAGUGUCCUAUAACCCUGGCUUGCCAUCAGCUUAGAAUGUUCUCUUUUUCUACUGACCUGCCUUCCAUCUGUGGUCUCUUCCUUCCGUCUGCUAUUUAUCAUGUACUUAUUGAUGUGUGUCCCAGAAUGUUCAGAAUCAUCUGAUUUAAAAGAUUCUGUCCCAUUUUCAGUAAAAGUAGCCCAAUAUUUUGUUGAGAAAACACAGUGACUGUGCAUAUACCUACCUACUCAUUAAGGUAUCACUUGUUGGUCACCUAGAGUAUAAAUUCAUGGCGUGGAUAUGACCUUGGUAUGAGCCUGUUCUAUACUGAUUUUGUCCCUCAUUGGGGAAAGACACUAGGAGGAUGUGUGUAUAGUGAAUAGAGGUACAGAUUGGGCACAGGCAGACUCUUUCUUGAAUCUAUUUCAUCAAUUAGUGGAUUUUUUUUCUCCUAGCCAAGUUAUUUAGCCUCUUCCUAUAUGAAAUACUCCUUCUUUUCAUCUGUUUUUGUUUUUAAAUGAGAUGACAAUUCAUGACUAGUCUUGGUCCCCUUAACACUUAGUGAGUGCUCAACAAAUGGUAGGAAUUAUUAUGGAUAACAAUAAUUAGUGUAAGUUCAAUAUGUAAAUAAAACUGCCUUUUGUUCACUAUCACAUCGCUUGUCUCAUCGGGUCUCAUCAUGAAAUAUUGGUCAUCAUUACUAUGAGAUCCAUCUAUGGUUAAUAUUACUAGUGUGACCCUAAAAUAGGAUUCAUCAACUAGGUAUGAUCAUCCGUCUAUUCUUUCCUUAAAUACAUUGAGCAAAAUCUUCAGGGGCAGCUGUAUUUUUUAACUGCACAUGCUACAGGGAUUCUGAAGUGAAACAUGGUGAAGAACCACCCAAUCAGACAUUUGAAUGGGGACUGACAGUCUUAAGUCUAAAGAAAUUUCCUCUUCCUUCAUAGUAAUUAGCAAGAAACUUCUACAAAAGUUACAAUGCCAAUUACUGGAAACGCGCAUAUCAGGAGUUCCAUGGAGGACCAUUUCCAAGCAGUAGACAUCAUGCAUCAAUCUGCUUUUUGAAAUCCAGACUGAUUUUCCAAAUCAUUUUUAAAUAAGAGGCCUCAAGCCGUAUGUAAGAAACAAGAAAAUUUGUGCCUUAAGAGCAACUAUCAACUUAAAUCAAAGAGGGGUAAGAGGAAUACAAUCCAAAAUCGCAGGGAGCACUUGGAAACAAUUCUUGGCAACUGUAUUCAGUUGAAGAAACUCAGAAUAUGAAAGCAUUAACAUAGAGUGCAACCAAAACACAAAUAAGAAUCACCCAAGCUGGGCUACAAGAAUAGCUACUGUUUACUCUGAGUGGAUAUUUAUGAAGAGCCGUAGUAAGAAAGAUCUUUUUGAUGAUAACAGAGCGGUGUAUGGCAUGAUAUUAAUUCUGCCUCAUUAGUGAAAUGAAAAACUCUGAGAUAGGUGUGACAAAGAAAAUUAUCACUGUUUCUCAUUCAGUGUUAAUUUCGCUUCUUGAAUUAAAUUCUGCUCAUUCUCUUCGGUGCAUUUAAAAUUAUUCCUUUCUUUUGAUACAUAUAUAUAUCUAUAUCCUAUGGAAUACUACUCAGGCAUAAAAAUGAAUGAAAUCAUGUGUUUUGCAGCAGCAUGGAUGAAUCUGGAGGCCAUCAUCCUAAGUGAAAUAACUCAGAAACAUGUUCUCACUUAUAUCACAAAUAUCUCACUCACAAAUAUCACAUGUUCUCACUUAUAAGUGGGAGCUAAACAGUUAAUACACAUGGACAUAGAGAGUGGAAUAAUAGGCAUUGGAGAACUCCAAAAGAAGGAAAAGUGGGAGCAGGGGUGAGAAAUGAGAAAUUACUUCAUGGGUACAGUAUACAUAUUCAAGUGAUGGGUACACUAAAAGUGCAGAAUUCACCACAAUGCAAUAUAUCCAUGUAACAAAACUGCACUUGUACCCCCCAAAUCUAUACACAUGAAAAAAAAUUGUUCCUUUCCAAUAUCAGCAUGUAUUAGAAUCAGGAAUGGUUUAUACAUUAAACACUAUAAGCACAGCCCUUAUGGAAUGUGAGCCUUUUGAAGAUACAUUAUUUGGAUAGAGCUUGAAUUUUUUUUUUUAAAAAAGAACAAUAAUAGUAACAUGCAUUGAGUGUUUACUUUGUACCAGGUAUGCUAUGAGGGUUUUACAUCCAUUAACUCUCUUGAUCCCCACACCACCCUUUGGGCAAGGUACUUAAAUUAUCAUCAUAUGCAAAACUUGACAUGUAGAGAGAAUAAGGAACUCGCUCAAGGUUAGACUGAUAAUAAGUGACGGAGCUGAUCUUCUAACCCCUGGAGUUGACUUUGCCACCACACUGCCUUCUCACACAUGUUCAGAACUCUCAAUCUUUUCUCAACAGAAGAACCCCAAAGUCUGUUUUGUGUCUUUUUCUAUUCAAACACCCAGACAGAGGGAAGAGCAAAGGUCCUAUGGCCCAGGGAAGUCUGGCUUGAUGGAGAAAAUGAAAGCUGAUAGAUGUGGAUGAAAAAACAAACUGCGGUCAAACUAACAUGAAAAAAGGGCCAACUAGGUAGGACCUUACCGGGUAGGUCCAGAUUUUGAUCUUUAACCUUGGAACAAUGAGAAGCCCAUGAGGCAUUUAGCCAAUUAACGGUUUAUAAAGUUCACUUUGGAAGCAAUUAGAAAAUCAGCAUGAAAUGGAGGGGGCUGAGUGGAUAUCAGGAGAAGGCUGAGGCUAACUCAGCAGCCCAGGAAGAGAAGCAAGGUCUUAGAUUAAGGGACUGGUGAUGUGAGAGUGUUCAGUGAAGCUCAGGCAGCCUCCGCUUCUU
This 3411-nucleotide long non-coding RNA is filed under the name Homo sapiens (human). RNAcentral describes it as "HSALNT0101064". The record is from RNAcentral. Lineage: Eukaryota; Metazoa; Chordata; Mammalia; Primates; Hominidae.